Molecule: transfer RNA, 72 nt
Organism: Camelus ferus (Wild Bactrian camel)
Lineage: Eukaryota; Metazoa; Chordata; Mammalia; Artiodactyla; Camelidae
Rfam family: tRNA
About the family: Transfer RNA (tRNA) molecules are approximately 80 nucleotides in length.
Source: Rfam
GUAGGUGUAGCUCAGUGGUAGAGCACAUGCUUAACAUGCACGAGGUCCUGGGUUCAAUCCCCAGUACCUCCA